GGACGGGUGAGUACGCGUGAGUGACCUGCCCCGAAGAGGGGGAUAACCCUGGGAAACUGGGCUAAUACCCCAUGUGCUUCGUGGGGUUAGAGGACCACGAAGUAAAGGGUGUGGUUACCGAAAGGCGCCACGCCGCUUCGGGAGGGGCCCGCGGCCCAUCAGGUAGUUGGGGGGUAAUGGCCUACCAAGCCUAUGACGGGUAGCCGGCCUGAGAGGGUGUCCGGCACACGGGGACUGAGACACGGCCCCGACUCCUACGGGAGGCAGCAGUGGGGAAUCUUGGCAAUGGGCGAAAGCCUGACCCAGCGACGCCGCGUGGGGGAAGAAGCCCUGCGGGGUGUAACCCCUUUUCGGGGGGAAGAGGAAGGACAGUACCCCCGGAAUAAGGGCCGGCUAACACGUGCCAGCAGCCGCGGUAAAACGUAGGGCCCGAGCGUUACCCGGAUUCACUGGGCUAAAGCGCACGUAGGCGGCUCAGUAAGUCGGGCGUGAAAUCUCCCGGCUCAACCGGGGGGGCCGUCCGAUACUGCUGGGCUUGAGGGCGGGAGAGGGAGGUGGAAUUCCCGGUGAGCGGUGAAAUGCGUAGAUAUCGGGAGGAACGCCAGUGGGGAAGCCGGCCUCCUGCCCGUCCCUGACGCUGAGGUGCGAAAGCCAGGGGAGCGAAAGGGAUUAGAUACCCCUGUGUC
This 686-nucleotide ribosomal RNA is filed under the name uncultured Chloroflexales bacterium. RNAcentral describes it as "bacterial SSU rRNA". It matches the Rfam family "Bacterial small subunit ribosomal RNA", at positions 100 to 795 of the family's 1533-position model. Lineage: Bacteria; Bacillati; Chloroflexota; Chloroflexia; Chloroflexales. The record is from RNAcentral.